Long non-coding RNA from Mus musculus (house mouse), 3703 nucleotides. RefSeq annotates it as RIKEN cDNA E130120K24 gene. Lineage: Eukaryota; Metazoa; Chordata; Mammalia; Rodentia; Muridae. The record is from RefSeq and is a predicted model, not a curated record. The transcript is spliced from 4 exons.
UUGUGAAGCAGAUGCUUCCAGUGGCCUGGAGUGUGCCUUGUGGGUCAGUGUUUGCAGUAAUGCCCUCUGGCAUUGAUCUCUGUGGUACCUCUCCCCAGGUACGAAAAGAAAUGUACCAGGAAGUGGCUGUGAGAGAGAACCCUGCGGACCAUCUGGAGGUAAUCUUGGGAUAUAAAAGGCUGAAUCCUGUAGAAAGGAAUAGCUGGAGGUGGGGAGUAGGGGUGAAAUAGUAAGUCCUUGGUGUUUUCUUCAGCUGCACAUCGAGUUUUCUGAUGAAUCUAUACUGCAACUUGGCCCAUUUCUUUACAUCUGUCUUUUCCUCAGUUCAGGAUCUUUGCUUUUGAGUAUUUGAAGGAACAGAGAGGGGGAUCUGCUGCAAGCUACCAUUCCCACGCAGCAGACCCUCUCUCCACACACUCGUGUGUGUACACACAACAGAGAGAGAGAGAGAGAGAGAGAGAGAGAGAGAGAGAGAAAACCCACAUGCACAUACAUGCACACUUUAUGAACCUGAAGACAAAACCAAUGGGCCAUGCAAACAAGAGCCUUCAGGAGUCUACCAAGAGUCAUGAAACGCUUUCAAAGACCAGGAAGGUUGAUUAAUGAAAAUUACUAAUUUGUUUUCAUUUUUUUUCUAGCAUUUGCAUCAAGUCUCCCUCAUGUUACUCACAGCCAUAUCUAUACAAUCCCCUCAAACGGGUUCAUCUCAAUCUACUCAGAAUUAGAUACAGGCAGUCAUGGGUUCUUUCGUAAUAUUCUUCAUAAAGAUGUAUGGCUCCCCAACCGAAGAGCCUAGACUCCAUCAGCUCCUCAUCCAUUCACCUCCACUAAAACUCUGUUAUCCAAGUGAUCAACAAAGACAGGAGUAUUCUUCACUCAAGCCAAGCUGUCUGUAUACGGGCUUCCUUGGAAGAACCCCGGAGCAAGCCGGAAAGUGAAAGGAUCAUUUGAGUCAACCCAGAAAUGUCAGCUUCUCAUGACUCAGGCUGGAAUAAAGAGGGACAAGAGGUAAGUUUAGAGAGAACACCAGAAGACACUCAGCAUGGCAGGGCAUUACAUGGUGCCACUGAACCAUGCUGCACUAAUCCCAUCAGGAAAGUACCUCAUUCCCAAAAAGGCAUUCUAAGUCAGUUAAUGGUUGACAAUGUUUCCUGAAGAAAUACUAAGUUUCUCAGGAGGUUUGCCUUUGAGAUAAGAUUCCAAGGAUGGAAAGAACACUAGACUGGGAGGCAGAUAGUAGGCUCCUGACACUGUUCCAUACUAUCUCCAACCCCCUUAGAUAAGUCGCCUAAGUCGGCCCAGUGUGAUUUUUCUAUCUUGAAGUUUGUAAUAAUCUCUUCUUUAUUUGCCUCGACCACAAACUUGAUGUAAGAGAAUCCAAUGAAAACACGUCUGAAAGCACUUCAUAAAUCAGGAGCAUGGGCCACAGAAUCUUUAACUUCCAAGAAUACUUUCUUCACGAUAGGAGUGUCGCACUUGCUAAAACACAGGAACCCACGGAGUUCUCUGCACACACUACUUCACACAAGCUCCCAGAGAGGCAUCUAAUUGGUUAGAAAAGCUGUAUCCUAGAGAUGUGGAAGAAUUUAUUAAAGGUCAGGUAACUAACAUGUGUCUUAGUCUCACUUCCUUCCUUCUUCCUUUCCUUCCACCCUUCCUUUCUAUCUCCCUCCCCCCACACACACUUUUUUGAGGUGGGAAAAAUAGUAAAGAUUUGGUUCAGUGAGUUGGAAGCUGUUUCUGUUUUGUUCUAUACUCCAACUCCUUGCUGGUUUUUUUUUUUUGCAUAUUCUCCUCCCCCUCCCCAUCUUUCUCCUCCCCUUCCCAGCCUUUCUCCUCCCUCCCCCUUUUUAAUCCUUUCUAUUCAUCUGUUGAGCCACCAUCCAUUACAGGAGCCAGACUCUCACUUCCCAGCUAUAAGGAAUCACAUCCUAGGGCAUGUACCUAAACUCACCACGAUGUUAGGCCUGAAAAAGGUUCCAACCUCAUUCUUACCCUGGAUUUCUGAGGACCAGCCACCAUCCUGAACUAUCCAGGAGUUGACAAUUAGCUCAACACAGUUCUUCCUACCACUCAGGAAAUUCCAAGGGGUUUUUGAAGCCCAUUGCCUGGAAUAGGGAACAAAAGGAAAAUAAAUAUGUUCUGUCACAGUCUCUCUAGCCCUUCCCUCCUGUGUUACCUCGGUCUCUCUAGCCCUUCCCUACAUUUCUAAAGUUCCCUAUCUACCGGUUCUCUCCCUGUAAUAUUUUUCCUAGUGGUUCAAUAUCUAUUUAUUCUUUUACUUCCUUUGCAGCAAGAGUAGCAUGGGAGAGCAGAAAAGUCUCUUGAAAGUCCCUGUGAUGGUUAAUCUUAAUUAUCAUUUUUGUUGGGUGGAGGCACAUUUACGAAAACGAGAAAAGCACAUGCCUGAGUGCUCUAUCAAAGAAGUUCCUCGGGAGAGCAACUGAUGGUGAAGGUCCUACACUAAAGAUGUAGGUGGGAUGCCCAGGGAAGAUGAAGAAAGCCAGUGACAGCAGGAUGGCACGAGGCACCGUAGUUCCUAGUGGCGUGGCCCCAUUUCAUCUGUGCCCUGUUGAGGAUUAAGAUGCUUCCUGCUCAUGCUGCUGACGUACAUCCACGAUUAUCCUGCUAAAUCUCCCGAAGUACCAACUGGGAAACAAAUGGGAAUUGUUCGCUUAGGAGACUUUCAUUUGACUGUGUGAUUGUUGGCUCCUUCGACAUCAGCCCAAAGACAACAAACGUGGAAGGAGGGACCUCUACAGAGAACCAAUCAAGAGGGUCUGUAGGUCCAGGUCCUCAGACCCUCAGCUGACCACCACAAGUUCUUCACAGAGCUAGAGCUAGGGAAGGAGAGGCAGGCACCCAAGAGAGGAGAUGGUCUUGGGUAGAGAAGCCUCAAUAUUAGGUCAGCUGCACAUAAAGUUAGAGUGGAGGCUGUUGAAGGGAUCCGAUUUCUUGGCACAUGCACACUGGAGAAAAGCCUGCUACAGGGUCCUGAAAAGGCCUGAGUUUAGUGUGCACACAUCCAGCAAUGUGGAAUGGCAAAGUCUAGCUCUCGUCUGGUUCCCUCCACCAUUCCGAGCAUCAGUUUCCUUUCAACACUGACCUCCAAGCUUGUCUCACUGUAUUUUCUCGGAGAAUGAUUUCUUGGGACUUCAAGAGGAGAAAGGUGAGCAAAUGGGGGACUAACACCGGCCCCAGGCAGUUCUCUGUCCAGCUGUGAGGACAGUCCUGAGCUCACGCUCUGAGAGCCACCUGAGGCCAAGUCCACAGCUCUGAACCUCAGAGAGAAGCUCUGAGAUUCACCCUCUCCCUCACUCAUAGGCUGUUUUCUCAUGACAGAGGUCCUCAAUUCCAGGAUGCCAGCCUUUUCCCUUGCUCAUGAAUUGGCUUAGCCAUUGGAAAAGCAAUUCAAAGUGUUUGUUAAAGGAGAUCCUGUGUUUUCACAAAUAUUCAGCUUCUCAACCUCCACAAGUGUUUAAAACUUUGAUGUGUAUGUGUGUGAGUGGGUGCAGAUGUGUGUGGGGGUGGGUGGGUGCAGAUGUGUGUGUGUGUGGGGGGUGCACAUGCCACACAGCAUGCCAGUGGAGGGCACAGUUACUGCUUGCAGAAGUUGGUUUCCCCCUUUAUGGUAUAGAUCCCAGGGGUCUGACUCAGACAGCCAAUGUCUUUGCUCAUUGAGCCAUCUUGUCGGCUCUUUACU